RNAcentral lists this ribosomal RNA (460 nucleotides) under uncultured bacterium. Its description in RNAcentral is "partial 16S ribosomal RNA". It matches the Rfam family "Bacterial small subunit ribosomal RNA", at positions 338 to 795 of the family's 1533-position model. The record is from RNAcentral.
CCUACGGGAGGCAGCAGUGAGGAAUAUUGGUCAAUGGACGAGAGUCUGAACCAGCAAAGUAGCGUGAAGGAUGACUGCCCUAUGGGUUGUAAACUUCUUUUAUAUGGGAAUAAAAUGUUCCACGUGUGGGAUUUUGUAUGUACCAUAUGAAUAAGGAUCGGCUAACUCCGUGCCAGCAGCCGCGGUAAUACGGAGGAUCCGAGCGUUAUCCGGAUUUAUUGGGUUUAAAGGGAGCGUAGGUGGAUUGUUAAGUCAGUUGUGAAAGUUUGCGGCUCAACCAUAAAAUUGCAGUUGAAACUGGCAGUCUUGAGUACAGUAGAGGUGGGCGGAAUUCGUGGUGUAGCGGUGAAAUGCUUAGAUAUCACGAAGAACUCCGAUUGCGAAGGCAGUUCACUGGACUGCAACUGACACUGAGGCUCGAAAGUGUGGGUAUCAAACAGGAUUAGAUACCCCAGUAGUC